Molecule: ribosomal RNA, 253 nt
Filed under: uncultured bacterium
Lineage: Bacteria
Description: partial 16S ribosomal RNA
Rfam family: Bacterial small subunit ribosomal RNA
Source: RNAcentral
UACGUAGGGUGCGAGCGUUGUCCGGAAUUAUUGGGCGUAAAGAGCUUGUAGGCGGUUUGUCGCGUCUGCCGUGAAAAUCCGGGGCUCAACCCCGGACUUGCGGUGGGUACGGGCAGACUAGAGUGUGGUAGGGGAGACUGGAAUUCCUGGUGUAGCGGUGAAAUGCGCAGAUAUCAGGAGGAACACCGAUGGCGAAGGCGGUUCUCUGGGCCUUACCUGACGCUGAGGAGCGAAAGCGUGGGGAGCGAACAGG